UGGCAAACGGGUGCGUAACACAUUGGUAAUCUGCCCCGAGGACGAGAAUAACCCUGCGAAAGCGGGGAUAAUACUCGAUGAAAGUGGGGGGACAAAAGUCAUUCCCACUUAAAGAUUUAUCGCCUCGGGAGGAACCUAUGGCCUAUCAGCUUGUUGGUGAGGUAACGGCUCACCAAGGCGACGACGGGUAGCGGGCGUGAGAGCAUUACCCGCCUCACUGGGACUGAGACACUGCCCAGACUCCUACGGGAGGCUGCAGUCAAGAAUCUUCCCCAAUGGCCGAAAGGCUGAGGGAGCGACGCCGCGUGUACGAAGAAGCUCUUCGGAGUGUAAAAUACUUUUCUCUGGGACGAAUUUCGACGGUACCAGAGGAAUAAGGGGCUGCUAACCUCGUGCCAGCAGCAGCGGUAAUACGAGGGCCCCAAGCAUUAUCCGGAUUUACUGGGCGUAAAGGGUCCGUAGGUGGUUUGUCGCAUCUCCUGUUAAAUCCUCUGGCUCAACUGGGGGGCCGCAGGAGAGAUGGAUAAACUAGAGGCCGGACGAGGCAAACGGAAUUGCUGGUGUAGGGGUUAAAUCCGUUAAUAUCAGCAAGAACACCAAAUGCGAAAGCAGUUUGCUAGGACGCGCCUGACACUCAGGGGACGAAAGCGUGGGGAGCGAAUAGGAUUAGAUACCCUAGUAGUCCACGCCCUAAACAUUGGAUGCUGAGUAUUGGAAGUAUCGACCCUUCCAGUGCUGUACCUUUAAGUUAACACGUUAAGCAUCCCGCCUGGGGAGUACGAGCGCAAGCUUAAAACUCAAAGGAAUAGACGGGGACCCGCACAAGCGGUGGAGCAUGUGGUUUAAUUCGACGAUAAGCGAAGAACCUCACCAAGGUUUGACAUCUAGCUGCAAGGCCUGGAAACAGGUCCGCCUUCGAGGGAGCUAGACAGAUGCUGCAUGGUUGUCGUCAGCUCGUGUCGUGAGAUGUACCGUUAAGUCGGACAACGAGCGCAACCCUUAUCCUAUGUUUUAUAUGUCAUAGGGAACUGCCCGUUUUAAAUGGGAGGAAGGUGGGGAUGACGUCAAAUCAGCAUGGUUCUUACACCUUGGGCUACACACGUGCUACAAUGGGAAGUACAAAGGGAAGCCAAGCCGUAAGGCGGAGCAAGUCCUUUAAAACUUUCCUCAGUUCGGAUUGAGGUCUGCAACCGACCUCAUGAAGCCGGA
This 1209-nucleotide ribosomal RNA is filed under the name uncultured Parcubacteria group bacterium. RNAcentral's name for it is "bacterial SSU rRNA". It matches the Rfam family "Bacterial small subunit ribosomal RNA", at positions 96 to 1330 of the family's 1533-position model. The record is from RNAcentral.